This 225-nucleotide long non-coding RNA is filed under the name Elaeis guineensis (African oil palm). Its description in RNAcentral is "long non-coding RNA (EGUI_LNC004831)". Lineage: Eukaryota; Viridiplantae; Streptophyta; Magnoliopsida; Arecales; Arecaceae. The record is from RNAcentral.
GGGCACUAUAUAUACAAGGUUACCUGCAUCCAGAUUUUUACUUUUCAAACCUGUUGCUGAGACCUUGGUUGAGCGGUCCCCCUUUGUCUCAAGUAGUUGUCUCUGCCACCCUUCUUAGAAAAUUUUUCAGGGGCCUUCAUCCUCGUCUUCUUGUUUUCUUUCUGCUUCCUUGAAAUUUUCUAUCUCUUUCUUCUUCUUCAUUCUUCGUCCUCGGUUCUGGCGUCA